ACACAGAGACAGAGGCUGACAAGGGAUGGGGCCGCGUUCCUAGAACACCUGAGGACAGGUCGCCCGGGUACCCGACACUUCCUCACCCAGCGUAGGACAUGGGGAGGAGAUUCAUCUCUAGAACAUUCCCAAAACGCUUAUUCAAAAUCAUUCGUAAGAUAAGCGAUUUUUUAAAGACUAAUAUAGAGUAGUUAGAGUUUACAGAAAAAUUGAGAAGUUACAGAGAUAUCCCAUAUACACUUGGCUCCUACGCAUGCAUAACCCCCCACCAUUAUCAACAUCCCCCCUCAGAGUGGUACAUGUGUUACGACUGAUGAACCUGCAUUGACACCUCAUCAUCACUCAAAGUCCAUAGUUACCUCAGGGUUCACUCAGGUUGUUGUAUACUCCUCGAGUUAGAACAAAUGUGUAAUGGCAGUGGAGCGCCCUGAAGGGAAGGAAAGGGAUCUGGAGCCCCAUUUAUUUCCUUCAUGAAUGUCCAGAGGAGAUCCUUGAAAUGAAGACUGCCACUGGGUGAGCCUAAUCAACUGGUUAAAAUAGCAAGAUAGAAUAAAAACAGAAACUCUUUGAGAGAUUGACAACUAAAAAAUGAUAAGGAAGAGACACCAUAGAUCUCUCUUUCUGCAUGCAUGCACAGAAGAAAGUCCAUAUUAGGACACAGUGAAAAGAUGGCCAUCUACAAGCCAGGAAGAGAGGCCUUAUCAGACACCAACGCUGACAGCACCUGGAUCUUGUACUUCUAGCCUCCAGAACUGAAAUUGUCCUUUUCACCUAAAUUUUUGAAUAUCUUGGCAUGAGAGCCCAAGUAGAGUGCAGAAUCACCUGGGUUCAGACGAUUCUCGUGCCUCAGCCUCCGGAGCAGCUGGGAUUACAGGUAAUUUACAUCGACUGCAUCUGUAUGGUGAAAAUAUAGUAUAAUGGGGUGCUGCUGUGAAUCUCCUUCCAAUUCUGCAUUCUGUGAUAUCAUAGUGGUAACCUGAAAUCCACCAUAGUGGGGACAUUUACACAAUAACUGGCAAAUGCUACAAGGCUGGGCUUUUUCAGUUUUGUUGAUUGUCUGGACAUAAAAAGGUAAUACAGAAAAUGUUACCAAUACAAGCAUUUGGGAAAAAUAAACUAAAACCUUUUGUGAAAAACAACAGGUUUUAUGGAAUUUACAAUAAAUAAUACUGUAUAUUUUAUUAUUUAUAAAUUCUGUGCUACACAUUCUUCAUAUCAGUAAAACUUAGAACAUAUAUAUGUAUCCAUACAUUUUGUUUUCUAGAAAGCCACUGGUUGAACAUUAACCAGCACACUACUGGAGUCUCUACCCACAAAGGUAGUAUAGGUGGGCAAGGAGUCAAUUCUCUGUGAGACUCCUGGGGGAGUCACUGACUUAGUACAUCAAGAGUAGUGCUGUGAUUUUAAAAUAUGUCCACAAAUUCUUUGAUACAUCUCCUAUCUAAAGACAGGCCCUGAUUUUCCUCCCCAUGAAUGUGAGCUGUACCUAACGACUAAUGAAUGUGGUGGAAGUAACCGUGUUAGACUUCUAAGGCUAAUUCAUAAAAGACAGUGUGGGCUCUGUCUUACCCUCUUUUGGACUGCUUACUUUGGGGAAAGCCAGUGGCCAUGCCAUGAGGACACUCGAACAUCUAUGAAGAGGUCCCACAUGGUGUGGAUAAGGACUCCUGCAACGGCCAUUUUGGACCUAGAUUCUCCUGCCCCAGACAGGGCUUCAAAUGACUGGGGUCCCAGCAGACAUCUUGACUGCAACUUCACAGGAGACUCUGGAGCCAGAACCUCUCAGCUAAGCAGCUCCUGCAAUCAUAACACACAGAAACUGUGAUGUAAUGAACGUUUGUUGCUUUAAGUAAGCCCCUAAGGUUUGGAGUAAUUCAUUAGAUGGCAACAGAUAACUAAUAUAAGCAGGGAAGACUCAUUAUCCCCAUUAAACUUCUUGGACUUUUGGGAGUCAAUGAAAUCUAAGACUCUCUCAUAUGGUGCUAUACCAACUUUGUUGAAGGGAGGGUGUCUUCCCAGAGAUCUGUGAAAACCAAACUAUUCAGGAUUAAGAAGUUCAGAAGCCACCAAUACCACUGUU
RNAcentral lists this long non-coding RNA (2080 nucleotides) under Homo sapiens (human). Its description in RNAcentral is "non-protein coding NDFIP2-AS1:2". The record is from RNAcentral. Lineage: Eukaryota; Metazoa; Chordata; Mammalia; Primates; Hominidae.